CGUCGUCGAUCUGCUGGGGACAGAUGAAAUGGAUAUGGGCAUCCAUGCCGCCCGCGGUCAGGAUGCGCCCCUCGCCCGCGAUCACCUCGGUGCCCGGCCCGAUGAUGAUGUCGACGCCGGCCUGGGUGUCGGGGUUGCCGGCCUUGCCGAUGGCGGCGAUGCGCCCGUCGCGCAGGCCCACAUCGGCCUUCACGAUCCCCCAAUGGUCCAGGAUCACCGCAUUGGUGAUGACGGUAUCCAUGGCGCCCUCGGCGCGGGUGCGCUGGCUCUGGCCCAUGCCGUCGCGGAUG
RNAcentral lists this small RNA (290 nucleotides) under Phaeovulum vinaykumarii. RNAcentral describes it as "Rhodobacter vinaykumarii 5' ureB small RNA". It matches the Rfam family "5' ureB small RNA". Lineage: Bacteria; Pseudomonadati; Pseudomonadota; Alphaproteobacteria; Rhodobacterales; Paracoccaceae. The record is from Rfam by way of RNAcentral.